Molecule: ribosomal RNA, 360 nt
Filed under: uncultured bacterium
Lineage: Bacteria
Description: bacterial SSU rRNA
Rfam family: Bacterial small subunit ribosomal RNA
Source: RNAcentral
AACGAACGCUGGCGGCAUGCCUAACCCAUGCAAGUCGAACGAGACCUUCGGGUCUAGUGGCGCACGGGUGCGUAACACGUGGGAAUUUGCCUCGGGGUAUGGAAUAACUCAGGGAAACUUGAGCUAAUACCAUAUAAUGUCUUCGGACCAAAGAUUUAUCGCCCUGAGAUAAGCCCGCGUAGGAUUAGCUAGUUGGUGAGGUAAAGGCUCACCAAGGCGACGAUCCUUAGCUGGUCUGAGAGGAUGAUCAGCCACACUGGGACUGAGACACGGCCCAGACUCCUACGGGAGGCAGCAGUGGGGAAUAUUGGGCAAUGGGCGAAAGCCUGAUCCAGCAAUGCCGCGUGAGUGAUGAAGGCC